Non-coding RNA from Punica granatum (pomegranate), 3268 nucleotides. Lineage: Eukaryota; Viridiplantae; Streptophyta; Magnoliopsida; Myrtales; Lythraceae. The record is from RefSeq and is a predicted model, not a curated record.
CACUCUUCACUUGGAUUCCAUCAACGCCACAUCUCAAUGAAUGAACAUAGAACACGGCAUUGUGAGUCUCUGUGGCUCAACAUCGAGAGGGACGGAGGCCCCCUCCCCCACUUCGGCACCCAGCCUCUUCGGCUCUCUCGGUAUUCCUGGCAUCACAGCCUUCCCGGCUGGCUCUCGGUUCGGCCUCUCGACUCUCUCCUCUCUUGGUUAAUAUCAGCUCUCUUGUACCAGCACCAAGUUCCCACCUCCAAGUCUCAGCUCGGGCACACUAUCAGACGUUCUCCGCCUUUCGGGCUCGACCGGCCCUGGUGCGUGCCCACUCUCCACGUUAACUGCGUAACCGCUCCAUCAUGGCACACCAUUUCUUAUAUAGAACUGUUUCGACCGGCAAUCGGAUCCUGCGUGAAGUAUGAUAUGGCACGCGGUUUGGAUAUUAACUAUUGUCAACCGCGUCAUACAUCCAUUUUGUGACCGGGGCCUGCAGCAAUCGAACCUCAAUAGUUUGCACAUGCAGCUAAAAGUAGUUCCAACUGCACUGUGUUCUCGUGGUCCAGCCGAAGAAGCAAUGGUGAGACCCAAACGGCCUACGGCAUGAGCUGCUCCCAUCAUCGCAGGUCGGACUCACCGUGACGGCGACGUUCGGGCGGGAAGAAGCAGGGGGUAUCGAUGUCUUUUCUUGACGAAGUGUGGAAACCUAAUUAUUUACGUGGUUAUCCUCAAGUUCGGGCAAUCUCCAUGCCAUUAUGCCUCCCCUCAUUCCUAGGUCGCAUCAUGUAUUUAUUUAUAUCAGCUGCCCGAUCAACACCAAUUGCUUCAACAGCACAUUGCAUUAGCUCUCUCCAAGCUCUCUGCUGCUCUCUCAUGGCCACUGCAAUCGCCGGAGUUCGCUGGUGCCCGCUCUUCUCCGCCUCACAGCCUCCCAAACACGGCCUCUCUUCCGCAUUUGUUACCCCCUCCAUGCGUCCCACCACCCUUCGGAUACUCUCUCAUAAACAUCGGACGCGACGCUCCAUCUCCAUGUCGAUGAAUGGGUGUGACUGCGACCCGAGGUCUCCGAUCGGCAUCGCCGAGACCCGUACGUUGCAAGUGGCGUCAACCCCAUCCUCAGCCAUGGACCAUCUUGGCGCAGCCAUCGCCUCCCUCAGAGCCAACCCACCGGACACCUCUUCCGGCAUCAUCCGCCUCCAGGUGCCAAUUCAAGGGAAAAUCGAAUCGAUCGACUGGCUCCACUCUCAGGACCCUCACCUACCCCGCUGCUACUUCUCCCGCCGGAGCUCUCGCAUCCGGAGCAGCUCCGAUCUCCUCCUUGAGUCCCUCAAUGGCAACGGCAACGGCAACGGCAACGGAGAUGGCCGCAGCUCCGCCGCUAACAAGCUUGUCAGCGUCGCCGGCAUCGGCUCCGCCGUCUUCUUCCGCCAUCUCCGCCCCUUCUCCUUCCACGACUGGUCGUCCAUCAGAAGGUUCCUCUCCAUGGAUUCUCCUCUGAUUCGUGCUUACGGCGCGAUCCGCUUCGAUGCGAGGUCGAACCUAUCACCGGAAUGGGAGCCCUUUGGUUGUUUCUACUUCGUAGUCCCUCAGGUUGAGUUUGAUGAGCUCGAAGAAGGGUCUGUUCUCGCGACAACUAUUGCGUGGGAUGCUUCUCUUUCAUGGACAUGGGAGAAUGCCAUCGAUUCACUUGAAGCGGUGAUGCGCAAGGUAUCAUCGCUUGUUGGAAAGCUGAAGAGGCAACUCCCUAGAGCAUCUAUUCUAAGCAAUAGUCAUUGUCCUGAUAAGACAAACUGGGAGCUUGCAGUGAACAAAGUUUUGCACUCUAUUCGUCGAGAUGAUUCUCCAAUCACUAAGGUUGUGCUUGCACGGAGCAGCAAAUUUGUCACUGAUACUGAUCUGGAUCCUGUAACAUUGCUAGCUUGCUUGCAGUCAGAAGGGAAAGAUUCCUACCAAUUCUGUUUUCAGCCACCCAAUGCUCCAGCAUUUAUUGGAAACACGCCAGAACAACUAUUUCGUAGAAGCGGGCUUAGCAUUAGCAGUGAGGCUUUGGCCGCAACUCGCGCUAGAGGUGCAACAAAAGCUCUAGAUCUUCAAAUUGAACAAGAAUUAUUAACAAGUCCCAAAGACAUUCUUGAAUUCAGCAUAGUACGAGAUGGCAUAAGAGACAAACUAAAGGCUGUAUGCGAUGGGGUUGUUGUGGAACCAGAGUUGACAGUCCGGAAAUUACCAAGAGUCCAGCACCUAAAUGCCUUGAUUGCUGGCAGGUUAAGAAGUGAAGAUGAUGAGUAUGCUGUACUGUCUUCUCUCCACCCAACUCCAGCGGUUUGUGGAUCUCCGAUGGAAGAUGCAAGGGAUUUUAUAGCUGAAACUGAGGCAUUUGACCGAGGAAUGUAUGCUGGACCUGUUGGCUGGUUUGGAGGAGGAGGAAGUGAGUUUGCAGUUGGAAUUAGGUCAGCAUUAAUAGAAAAGGGUGGUAAAGCAUUCUUUUAUGCUGGGACGGGAAUAGUGGAAGGAAGUGAUCCUUCUCUAGAGUGGAAGGAAUUGGAAAUGAAGACGUCUCAGGUCUGUAGAAAGAUUUCCCGAUGCCUGCGUUGAAGUUUGUUCCUCAUGGAACUGUUAUGCUGCCUGUUUGAUGUGUUCACAAAUUACCUGAAACAAGAGGUGGCUGUGGAAUGAGAAUAUGAUUGCUUGUGACGUGCUACUUGGCAAGGAGGACUCUUGAGAUAGGUUUAUACGUCAAAGAUGGCCUUGAAUAAAACUGUUUGGUUUGGUGAAGACAGUUUCUGAAUAAGAGUAGUUGUACCUCUUUACAAGCAGCAUUUGGAGGGGCGAUGAACCGGUUACCCUGGCUGAGAAUUGUCGGGUGCUGGGAGCCCCCAAUUGCAUACAUAAGCCAGUGAGUGUAAUCAUUGUUGACGACGUGAAUAAAACCAUAUCGGCACCUAGGCAUCCUCUGCACCAAUCCUUGCCCAAAGUGGUUAAAAGCUACGGUUAUCUGCAUCUUUGUAUCGUCCGAGUAGCUGUCACUUCCCCCAAACAACAUCACCUGCAUAUAUUAGUCCGUGGUUUGAUCAUCUUCCUUUCUCCAUGCCUCAUAUUAUUGUAUAGUUUCCCCGUGUUUUUUUUUAUUUAAAUUUAUUGUUAUGUCUGUUACAUUCGGGCUCUGCCAUAAAUGGGGUGAUGGUGAAAAUUAUAGCGAAACUAUCGGACAUGAUACUAUAGUGCAUAAUCCUACGAGUCGCUUUGCGAGUCUCUCAUGGACUCGGUUUCAUUCCUGCAA